GAGUUUGAUCAUGGCUCAGAUUGAACGCUGGCGGCAUGCCUUACACAUGCAAGUCGAACGGCAGCACGGGAGCUUGCUCCUGGUGGCGAGUGGCGAACGGGUGAGUAAUGCAUCGGAACGUAUCCUGGAGUGGGGGAUAACGUAGCGAAAGUUACGCUAAUACCGCAUAUUCUGUGAGCAGGAAAGCGGGGGACCUUCGGGCCUCGCGCUCUUGGAGCGGCCGAUGUCGGAUUAGCUAGUUGGUGAGGUAAAGGCUCACCAAGGCGACGAUCCGUAGCAGGUCUGAGAGGAUGAUCUGCCACACUGGAACUGAGACACGGUCCAGACUCCUACGGGAGGCAGCAGUGGGAAUUUGGACAAUGGGGCAACCCUGAUCCAGCCAUGCCGCGUGAGUGAAGAAGGCCU
Molecule: ribosomal RNA, 405 nt
Filed under: bacterium enrichment culture clone ALO1_GLFRUDD03GKI1H
Lineage: Bacteria
Description: bacterial SSU rRNA
Rfam family: Bacterial small subunit ribosomal RNA
Source: RNAcentral